UACGUAGGUGGCAAGCGUUAUCCGGAUUUACUGGGUGUAAAGGGCGUGUAGGCGGGAAAGCAAGUCAGAUGUGAAAACCAUGGGCUCAACCCAUGGCCUGCAUUUGAAACUGUUUUUCUUGAGUACUGGAGAGGCAGACGGAAUUUCUAGUGUAGCGGUUAAAUGCGUAGAUAUUAGAAGGAACACCAGUGGCGAAGGCGGCCUGCUGGACAUUAACUGACGCUGAGGCGCGAAAGCGUGGGGAGCAA
Molecule: ribosomal RNA, 248 nt
Filed under: uncultured Ruminiclostridium sp.
Lineage: Bacteria; Bacillati; Bacillota; Clostridia; Eubacteriales; Oscillospiraceae
Description: partial 16S ribosomal RNA
Rfam family: Bacterial small subunit ribosomal RNA
Source: RNAcentral